Molecule: ribosomal RNA, 301 nt
Filed under: uncultured bacterium
Lineage: Bacteria
Description: partial 16S ribosomal RNA
Rfam family: Bacterial small subunit ribosomal RNA
Source: RNAcentral
CAGCCGCCGCGGUAAUACGUAGGUGGCAAGCGUUGUCCGGAAUUAUUGGGCGUAAAGGGCUCGCAGGCGGUUUCUUAAGUCAGAUGUGAAAGCCCCCGGCUCAACCGGGGAGGGUCAUUGGAAACUGGGAAACUUGAGUGCAGAAGAGGAGAGUGGAAUUCCACGUGUAGCGGUGAAAUGCGUAGAGAUGUGGAGGAACACCAGAGGCGAAGGCGACUCUCUGGUCUGUAACUGACGCUGAGGAGCGAAAGCGUGGAGAGCGAACAGGAUUAGAUACCCCAGUAGUCCCUGUCUCUUAUAC